CCUUCUAUGGUGCAAUGGUAGACACUCUUGAUUCAAAACCAAGCUGUUGUAGGUUCGACUCCUACUAGAAGGA
RNAcentral lists this transfer RNA (73 nucleotides) under Richelia sp. RM2_1_2. RNAcentral's name for it is "tRNA-Leu". It matches the Rfam family "tRNA". From Rfam's summary of the family: Transfer RNA (tRNA) molecules are approximately 80 nucleotides in length. Their secondary structure includes four short double-helical elements and three loops (D, anti-codon, and T loops). Further hydrogen bonds mediate the characteristic L-shaped molecular structure. tRNAs have two regions of fundamental functional importance: the anti-codon, which is responsible for specific mRNA codon recognition, and the 3' end, to which the tRNAs corresponding amino acid is attached (by aminoacyl-tRNA synthetases). tRNAs cope with the degeneracy of the genetic code in two manners: having more than one tRNA (with a specific anti-codon) for a particular amino acid; and 'wobble' base-pairing, i.e. permitting non-standard base-pairing at the 3rd anti-codon position. The record is from RNAcentral. Lineage: Bacteria; Bacillati; Cyanobacteriota; Cyanophyceae; Nostocales; Nostocaceae.